GCAAGAAGGAGGCGGCGGCGGCCGGAGCAGGAGGGGGAGGAGGGGAGGAACCUGAUCUCUCCGGUAGCGAAGGGCUGGAGGCAAACACCGAGUUCCCCCUGAGCCGCCCGGGAGCAGGGAGGGCUCCGCUACCCCGGGGGGCCCUCCCCGCGGGGCAGAUGAGCUCAGUGUCCAGACUUUCUGAGCUGUGUUAUGGGUCACUCAAGCAGUCCACCUUUCUGACUUUCCAUAAUCUACUGGAUUCGUAAUCCACACCAUACUUGAGAACAUGGGGAUCGGCAUAAGGUAUGUCCAAUGUGCUGAGGUACAGAGGUGAAUCAGAGGAUGCACUGUUAGUGGGGGAGAUGGACAGGUAAGCAAAUUCUUAUGAUACCAUGUGACAAGUACUUAGCAUGUGUGGGGGUGUGUGUGUGUUUUAAGUAUCACAGGGAUGCGGUGCAGAAAGGAACUAAUUCUCCUUGACUGAAGGAGUUGUCCAAUACUUUAUGUUUUCAAAAUGACUGUCACAUAUGUUGCAUGAGUUUAUAUGAUCUUCAUAAAAACCGUAUGAAGUUGUGAUCCCUUUUGAACAUAAGUUGAAGUAGAGCAUCUUAGACGUUAGGUGAGUUCCCCAAUGUUAUGCAGCUAGUAAUAAUAAUUGCUGAUAUUUAUUGAGUGGUUAGGUUACCUGAGGCUCUGUUCCAAGCCCUAUAAAGAUGAUGCAUCUUCACAACAACUCUAUGAGGUCAUUAUUGAUAUUAUCACCAUUUUACAAAUGAGAAAAUGGAAGUCAAGAUUUAAAUAAUUUGCCUAGAGUCACAUAACUAGAAAGCGGAAAAACAAGAACUUGCACCUACCCAUUCCAGCUUUAGCAGGCAUACAUUUACCUACCGCACUAAAUUACCUUUAA
This is a long non-coding RNA of Phacochoerus africanus (Common warthog), 889 nucleotides long. RefSeq lists it as uncharacterized. The record is from RefSeq and is a predicted model, not a curated record. Lineage: Eukaryota; Metazoa; Chordata; Mammalia; Artiodactyla; Suidae. The transcript has 3 exons.